UUUCCAAAUAUAACAAGAGAGAUAUUAGCUCUGUAAGAGAAAAUUCUGCAGGCAACAUUCUUGGCUUCCCAUAUUUUCUAACGGUAUGGUCAUCUUGAUGGGAGUUUAGAGUCUAUAUUACCUAAGCUUAUUCAAUAAUGAAAAUUUGAAUUUGGAGAGGGUGCUCAUCCAGCUGUACUCCAAAGGAGCAGAGAGCUAGGAGGGAGAUUUUAUAUUUCAGGGUCUCUUACCUGACAGGUAGUGACAUCGGAGAGGCCCUGGGAGAUCUUGGAGAAAGACCUCAACUUAGGGUAGGAGGGUUCUUGACAACAGUCAUGAGAAAGAAUUCACGGACUAGUCAUAUAGUAGCAGGGGAAUUUAAUGAAAAGUGAAAGUACACACUCAAGAGGGGAGUGUGGACGUGCUGGUACAGGCAGGACUUGUGCCUCCUGGGGAUACGGGUGCUGCUUUAUCGAUGCCAGGCUGCCCCGCUUCUUCCCCCUUCAUGUAAAUGAGGACUAGUAAGUCCAAUGUUCUGCGUUAAACUGGGUGGGCAGGGAGUCCACCCAUCCCGCCUACCUGAUGAAACCCUACAUCGUCUCGGGAUUCUUCGGACUCCAGUGUUGUUUCAUGAUUGGUAGGACGCGUCCUGCGCUUGGACUGCGCUGGGAAGUGUGAAGGUUGCGUCUGAGACCCAGCCAGACUCGCCCCAAUUGUCUUUGCUUUUUCCCUUUUUCUGACUUCGAUCCCUUUCCGCCUAGAAAACGUUCUCAACAUCAGAAAACGCACACUGACGGCAGCAACGCCAGACUCCUUUUUUAUGGGCACUCCUUGAUCCAUCAGCCUUCCCGGGAGCUGGAGCUGUGGUAUCAGAAACCUUUCCGCCAUCAUCCAUUCUACAUGCACCGGGCAGGAAAAAGAAAAAUAGACACCCAAACUGAUCCUCACUGGGUUGAAAACAAAUGGAAAAAACAAGACAUCUACUUAGAAGCAGACAGCCAUGACAGGGAGGUGGGAUCUCUUUGUAAAACCUGGCCUAUGGCAGAACCAUGCCAGAGAAUAUGGAGCAGCACAAUCUGCUUCCAAGGCGUUCCUGUGAAAGCAAGGAUGCCCUCUAUGAGGAAGGCAUUAUAUGUGGCAAUGAGCAGGGAACUGCCAUGCUGUCAGAGCAAUGCCCUGUAGUGGCAGGAAACACACAGACCUCAAAGCCGGACUCUGGCAAAAUUAGGUUGGGUAAAGAAAUGAAGGGUUAUGGGGUUGCUCCCAGAAUCCAGUCACCUUCAGAUAAAGUAAAACCAGGAGAUAAGGCAUUAGAGGUCGAAAUCCCCUGAGGUCAGGAGGGUGCAAGUCAGCUGAAGAUGUGCUUGAGGAGUGGAGUGACGAGGAGUGGGAACCACUGGACCUCUGCAAGGAAGCUGCUCUUGACUUGAGCCUGCAGCCCCAGGCUCAGCACCCCUCAGUGAUGGAGAAAGAAAACUAAACACCAGUAUUGGGAGCCAUGGUUCCCCUCAGGAAUUCCUUCCUUCACCUACCUGGCUGGCCAGUUUUGACCAUUUUAUCAAUAGAGGGGUCUCCUGUAAUAUGAACAUGUUUGAGAAAAACUUGUACAGGAUGAUGCACCUGAGAAAUAUCUUACUUGGUAUAGAAAGGCUUCAAGAAAGUCUUGGAAAUCAUGCUCUGGCAUGGUGACAAACUUGGGUGAAAAGAAGGAUUAUA
Molecule: long non-coding RNA, 1695 nt
Organism: Dasypus novemcinctus (nine-banded armadillo)
Lineage: Eukaryota; Metazoa; Chordata; Mammalia; Cingulata; Dasypodidae
Source: Ensembl